Molecule: long non-coding RNA, 289 nt
Filed under: Ananas comosus (pineapple)
Lineage: Eukaryota; Viridiplantae; Streptophyta; Magnoliopsida; Poales; Bromeliaceae
Description: long non-coding RNA (ACOM_LNC008739)
Source: RNAcentral
AUAUCAUAUAUGAGUCGGCGUCGGCUGAGGUGUGGCCAAGAUAAGAGAGUGGAGGUCAGCGUAGAUUUUGAGGCAGCGGAGAAGGAAAAGGGAGAUGAAGCAAAAAGGAGAAGGGAGAGGAAGAUGAGCCGGAAGCGUAGAGCAACGAAAAAGAGAAAAGAGAGAGAGAGAGAGAGAGAGAGAGAGAGAGAGGAAUAAUGAUAUGUUUGUCAGUUUUCUAAAAAUUUGAAUCGAAUCUGUAAAAUGUAAAAUCAUAGUCUAUUUUUUAUAAAAGCACAAAUUAGUUGAU